AUGGAGUCAACCUAACAUCUCCAGAAACAGUGCACUCACCAGGAAUUUGGUUGAUUCCACCCCCAGGAUAAAACCACUGAGUUGGUUUCAUGGUCGAUGGUGUAGCAAAUUCAUAGACUUGUUCUUUUGGAUGCGCAGGGAAAUCUCUAUAGAAGCGGGACUGAAUUUCUUUCAGUGCUUCCAUAGCAAGCUCCAGAGGAUUGAUAGCCUUGUGGGGGAGACCACUGUGAAAAAGCUUUCCAGUUACAUGAAGUUUCCACGGUAUACUGCCACCGGUACCAAUGCAUGGUUGUUUAUCUGCUGUGUCAAUCCAAAAUAGAGGGCCUUUCUUUAACUUAUCAAGCAAUCCAUCCUUCACUAAUGCAUCCACACCAACCCCAGGGAUAGAUGAGUUCUCUUCACUGGCUAUGAAGACAGCAACCACCGUGGAUUUCAACUGUGGCUUUGUCUCCCCAAGACGCCUCAUAAGCUCGGAUACAAGAGCCACAUGACCUAAACAAUCAGUAGUUCCACGUCCUCGAAGUUUAUCACCAUCAAUGCUCAAUGAAAAGGGAUCAAAUUCCCAAUCAUCAGGAUUGGCAGUGACAACAUCCAUAUGCAUUCCA
This 605-nucleotide unclassified non-coding RNA is filed under the name Hevea brasiliensis (rubber tree). The record is from RNAcentral. Lineage: Eukaryota; Viridiplantae; Streptophyta; Magnoliopsida; Malpighiales; Euphorbiaceae.